UGGGGAGGCUGCCCGAGAGGAGGGCUUUGACCUGCGCCCCCUGGACCGGAAUGGCGCCAUUCCCUGAGAAGCUCCCUCUGGGAGAAUGAAUUUCUCUCGAAGUUCAAGAACACCAUAUUUACUUACAGGCAAUUUCCAGGAGAAAAGCAAAGUACUAUUCUGGGCCAGAGGGGAUGAUGGGGAAGAUCAAGGCAGGUUAGAGAAGCAAAGCCAUUCCCAACAAGUGGAGGAGUAGUAGUGCGAGGAAGCCAAGAAAAACCGCCAACCUAUCGGAGACUGACUGGCAAUCGAAGAGCUGGAAUCAGAGCGUUUUAUUUUACUUCCCGGGUGGUGAACUAGAAUAAAGAAAAUACAUAUAUACAAAGAAAAGAUAGAGCAGGAAAAACAAACAGCAGUGGGGGUCAAGGAGGAGGAGGAGGAGGAGGAGGAAAAAGGCAAGGAGAAGUCUCUUACACACUGGCUGGCAUGCAGGGCAGCCAUUUUAGAGGAAAAAUGGAAAGGGUACGAGAAGAGAGCUCAGCCCACAGAUGUGAAGAGGUGGGUGGGAGGGUGGGGGCUCUGAUCGAUUCUACUUCUCCCCCCCACCCAACAUGUGAGUGUUACAUAGGAAGUCCUAGUCAAGUACUUAUUGGUACUUAUGCUGACAUUCAGGAUGGACUAGGGUCUGCCCAAGAUAUCAUGAUGGUGUUUGCAACAGAGAACCUCACUGGCACUUCUCUCCCACUCAUCAACACAGGUCACCCUCCUCAAGAAGUCCUUGGCUAGGCUGAUCUUUUGACUGACCUCAAAAAGACUUCCUGCUGGGCUGGGCUGUGCUCCAUGGGUGGUCCUGGCCCACUCACUUUUAAUGGCAGACACCUCACAGCCUUACACUGGGGGAGGUUAAGAGCCCCAUGUUUGUUAAGAAUCACUCUCCAUUUCUUACCUCUGCAAGGAUCGUUCUUCACUAAAAACUCAUCCAGGGCCAUCCAUCCUCCACCAACGCGAACCAUGACUGUGCUACGCAGGAUACGGACCAGCCGCAGUUGCUGCGAAU
Molecule: long non-coding RNA, 1036 nt
Organism: Podarcis raffonei (Aeolian wall lizard)
Lineage: Eukaryota; Metazoa; Chordata; Lepidosauria; Squamata; Lacertidae
Exons: 3
Source: RefSeq, a predicted model, not a curated record